This 253-nucleotide ribosomal RNA is filed under the name uncultured bacterium. RNAcentral describes it as "partial 16S ribosomal RNA". It matches the Rfam family "Bacterial small subunit ribosomal RNA", at positions 524 to 776 of the family's 1533-position model. The record is from RNAcentral.
GACGUAGGGUGCGAGCGUUGUCCGGAUUUAUUGGGCGUAAAGAGCGUGUAGGCGGCCAUGCAGGUCCGUUGUGAAAACUCGAGGCUCAACCUCGAGACGCCGAUGGAAACCGCAUGGCUAGAGUCCGGAAGAGGAGAGUGGAAUUCCUGGUGUAGCGGUGAAAUGCGCAGAUAUCAGGAAGAACACCCGUGGCUAAGGCGGCUCUCUAGUACGGUACUGACGCUGAGACGCGAAAGCGUGGGGAGCGAACAGG